ACUCUUGCUACAUAAGUAGAGUAGAGGAAAGUUUUUUCGCUUCACGAUGAGCCUGCGGCCUAUUAGCCUGUUGGUAGAGUAAUGGCCUACCAAAGCUACGAUAGGUAGCCGACCUGAGAGGGUGACCGGCCACAUUGGGACUGAGAUACGGCCCAGACCC
RNAcentral lists this ribosomal RNA (160 nucleotides) under Brachyspira pilosicoli. Its description in RNAcentral is "partial 16S ribosomal RNA". It matches the Rfam family "Bacterial small subunit ribosomal RNA", at positions 173 to 338 of the family's 1533-position model. The record is from RNAcentral. Lineage: Bacteria; Pseudomonadati; Spirochaetota; Spirochaetia; Brachyspirales; Brachyspiraceae.